This 498-nucleotide ribosomal RNA is filed under the name uncultured bacterium. RNAcentral's name for it is "partial 16S ribosomal RNA". It matches the Rfam family "Bacterial small subunit ribosomal RNA", at positions 30 to 523 of the family's 1533-position model. The record is from RNAcentral.
AUUGAACGCUGGCGGCAUGCCUUACACAUGCAAGUCGAACGGUAACAGGUCUUCGGAUGCUGACGAGUGGCGAACGGGUGAGUAAUACAUCGGAACGUGCCUAGUAGUGGGGGAUAACCACUCGAAAGAGUGGCUAAUACCGCAUGAGUUCUACGGAUGAAAGCAGGGGAUCGCAAGACCUUGUGCUACUAGAGCGGCCGAUGGCAGAUUAGGUAGUUGGUGGGAUAAAAGCUUACCAAGCCGACGAUCUGUAGCUGGUCUGAGAGGACGAUCAGCCACACUGGGACUGAGACACGGCCCAGACUCCUACGGGAGCCAGCAGUGGGGAAUUUUGGACAAUGGGCGAAAGCCUGAUCCAGCAAUGCCGCGUGCAGGAUGAAGGCCUUCGGGUUGUAAACUGCUUUUGUACGGAACGAAAAGCCCCGGGUUAAUACCCUGGGGUCAUGACGGUACCGUAAGAAUAAGCACCGGCUAACUACGUGCCAGCCGCCGCCGUAA